RNAcentral lists this ribosomal RNA (800 nucleotides) under uncultured bacterium. RNAcentral describes it as "bacterial SSU rRNA". It matches the Rfam family "Bacterial small subunit ribosomal RNA", at positions 8 to 791 of the family's 1533-position model. The record is from RNAcentral.
AGAGUUUGAUCCUGGCUCAGGACGAACGCUGGCGGCGUGCCUAAUACAUGCAAGUCGAGCGGACAGAAGGGAGCUUGCUCCCGGAUGUUAGCGGCGGACGGGUGAGUAACACGUGGGUAACCUGCCUGUAAGACUGGGAUAACUCCGGGAAACCGGAGCUAAUACCGGAUAGUUCCUUGAACCGCAUGGUUCAAGGAUGAAAGACGGUUUCGGCUGUCACUUACAGAUGGACCCGCGGCGCAUUAGCUAGUUGGUGAGGUAACGGCUCACCAAGGCGACGAUGCGUAGCCGACCUGAGAGGGUGAUCGGCCACACUGGGACUGAGACACGGCCCAGACUCCUACGGGAGGCAGCAGUAGGGAAUCUUCCGCAAUGGACGAAAGUCUGACGGAGCAACGCCGCGUGAGUGAUGAAGGUUUUCGGAUCGUAAAGCUCUGUUGUUAGGGAAGAACAAGUGCAAGAGUAACUGCUUGCACCUUGACGGUACCUAACCAGAAAGCCACGGCUAACUACGUGCCAGCAGCCGCGGUAAUACGUAGGUGGCAAGCGUUGUCCGGAAUUAUUGGGCGUAAAGGGCUCGCAGGCGGUUUCUUAAGUCUGAUGUGAAAGCCCCCGGCUCAACCGGGGAGGGUCAUUGGAAACUGGGAAACUUGAGUGCAGAAGAGGAGAGUGGAAUUCCACGUGUAGCGGUGAAAUGCGUAGAGAUGUGGAGGAACACCAGUGGCGAAGGCGACUCUCUGGUCUGUAACUGACGCUGAGGAGCGAAAGCGUGGGGAGCGAACAGGAUUAGAUACCCUGGU